GACGAACGCUGGCGGCGUGCUUAACACAUGCAAGUCGAACGGAAAGGCCCUGCUUUUGUGGGGUGCUCGAGUGGCGAACGGGUGAGUAACACGUGAGUAACCUGCCCUUGACUUUGGGAUACCUUAAGGAAACUGGGGCUAAUACCGGAUAGGAGCUCCUGCUGCUGGGUGGGGGUGGGAAAGUUUCGGCGGUUGGGGAUGGACUGGCGGCUUAUCAGCUUGUUGGUGGGGUAGUGGCUUACCAAGGCUUUGACGGGUAGCCGGCCUGAGAGGGUGACCGGCCACAUUGGGACUGAGAUACGGCCCAGACUCCUACGGGAGGCAGCAGUGGGGAAUAUUGCACAAUGGGCGGAAGCCUGAUGCAGCGACGCCGCGUGCGGGAUGACGGCCUUCGGGUUGUAAACCGCUUUCGCCUGUGACGAAGCGUGAGUGACGGUAAUGGGUAAAGAAGCACCGGCUAACUACGUG
Molecule: ribosomal RNA, 468 nt
Filed under: uncultured bacterium
Lineage: Bacteria
Description: partial 16S ribosomal RNA
Rfam family: Bacterial small subunit ribosomal RNA
Source: RNAcentral